GGCGACGAUCCGUAGCUGGUCUGAGAGGAUGAUCAGCCACACUGGGACUGAGACACGGCCCAGACUCCUACGGGAGGCAGCAGUGGGGAAUAUUGGACAAUGGGCGCAAGCCUGAUCCAGCCAUGCCGCGUGAGUGACGAAGGCCUUAGGGUUGUAAAGCUCUUUUGGUGGGGAAGAUAAUGACGGUACCCACAGAAUAAGCUCCGGCUAACUUCGUGCCAGCAGCCGCGGUAAUACGAAGGGAGCUAGCGUUGUUCGGAAUCACUGGGCGUAAAGCGCACGUAGGCGGAUUUGUCAGUCAGGGGUGAAAUCCCGGGGCUCAACCUCGGAACUGCCUUUGAUACAGCAAGUCUUGAGUUCGAGAGAGGCGGGUGGAAUUCCUAGUGUAGAGGUGAAAUUCGUAGAUAUUAGGAAGAACACCGGUGGCGAAGGCGGCCCACUGGCUCGAUAC
RNAcentral lists this ribosomal RNA (451 nucleotides) under uncultured bacterium. RNAcentral describes it as "bacterial SSU rRNA". It matches the Rfam family "Bacterial small subunit ribosomal RNA", at positions 272 to 740 of the family's 1533-position model. The record is from RNAcentral.